Molecule: non-coding RNA, 4504 nt
Organism: Meleagris gallopavo (turkey)
Lineage: Eukaryota; Metazoa; Chordata; Aves; Galliformes; Phasianidae
Source: RefSeq, a predicted model, not a curated record
AUAUGUAUUUGAAUUCAGUCUCAUGCUGGCAAAAAAAUUCUGAGUCAGAUGGAAUACUUUAGGGUAGUGGAACUUGGUGUUUGCAUAACCAAAGAAAAACAGAAGAUAACUUACAGGGAGCAAAACAAGGAGAAAUAUUUUCAGAAGUCUCCACAAACUUACAAGUCUGAAAAGAAAGGAGUAAUUUGUGUGACAGCUUCAUGGAAAAUCAAGAUUUCAACGAAUAUAUCUCACCUUAUGCACUUCACAUUUACACUGGAAGAAUUUGUUAUCUGCUGGCAUCAUCCUGGAGAAAAAGUAAAAGCAAGACAAGACCUAGGUACAGAUAUUGAUCGGGAUCUAUUGACAAUCAUUUUGAAAACGUGGGAUAGGAGAGCAAUUCAGAAGCAGUGCUUGCUAGCUUCAGAACACUGCGGGAAUGGCGGUAAGAGAGAAGUGACUUCACAGACAUGCCAUGUGUUGUAUGGAUGUUCGUGGUUCCAGAAAGCAUUUGCUUGGAGAGUGGUCUCAGAAAUAACUCUUUCUUUUGUAUGACUGGUUUUGUGUCACGUCUACUUCAGACUGAGCAGCGUAAAAUGACACUGAAGAAAACUGUUUUGAGUUCUAUCUUAUUUUUGAGUGUAACAUCCAUUUAUUUAUCUGUGGCCAACUGUUCAUUGCAGCGAACAAAUUCUGUUCAUAAGCGAGGGAAAAAAGACACUCAAGACUCUUUUUCUUCAGCAUCAGGAAGAGAAAUGUUUUCAAAAUAGCUUUAAACAUUAGAAGUUAAAAGUGUCUUCAGCUGUUGGCUCCCUGUUGCUUUGCAGGCAGCUUUUUCUCACUGUUUGGAACUUGAGCUGCAUAUGUUGCUCUGGGGACUCCCUUUUCCUCAUUGGUUCUCAGCAGCCCAGGAUUAAACGUAUCUGAUUGCCUAAUACGUAUCCAUUAAGCUAGUCAUGAAUAAUUGCUGAAAUGGUUUCCUUUAGUGAGUGAGUAUCUGACACUUUUCUGAUGUCUUUUAUUUUAAGAGCUUAAAUUGAUUGUUAAGCUCUUAAUUUAAGACUUCAUCCUGAAUCACCAAACAAAUCACAGUGACAUUUUUGUUAUGACCUCAAGGGGAAAGGCAUGGAACAGCAAAGGCACAAUUCCUUAUCAGCGUGUCUGGUACUUCUGAGGUACCAGUCAGAAUUCAAUUAAAAAGCAGGACAGAAUUGUGGCACGAGAAUCUCACGCUGGGCCCUCUUCAGCUGGGAACUGGAGUUGUUUGGCACUAUGGGACGGUUUAGGAUCUCUGCAUGAAGUGGAAUGAGCAAUAACUGCUGGAGAAAAAUAGGCCCAGGUUUGUACAAAUCCUACAAGCUCAGUUUUCAAAAAGGCACUUAAUUAUGCUUGCAAGUGUACAUAUUUAGAUGCAUGCAUUUAUAUAGUAAAAUUAAUGAGAACACUUAAAACCUUAAGUAGUAGCAGAUGGCUAGGUAGUACAGAACAGAACUGAUGGGAAGAAAAGAUACAAGGGAAGAGCAAGCAGACCCAGUUUUUUUAUUAUAGGUAUAUUCUCUAACUGAAGGUGAGCAGCAUUUUAAAUGGACUGGUCAUAGAGUAGGUGAAGCACAAAUAGGAAUAGGCUUAGUCUAGAAAUGUUGAAGAGGUAUGCAAAUAAGGAUUGCUCUUGUUCCCAGGACUAAUUAAGUAAAAAACAAUUUGAAUUAAAUAAAAAGAGUUUUUUUGCUAUAUCUUCCUUUUUAAGGUGAAUAAAACACAUGCCAUUGGGCUUCUAAGUAUUAAGAUUUGUUCCUAAUGACUUAUUUGACAAGCAUAAAAAACUGAAAUGCAAAUAAAGAUGAUUGAUUUGGUAAUUUCAUUUGGAUUAUUUGUUUUAGCAAGCAGUAGUACUGGAGAAGCAAUCUCUUACAAGCACACAGAUGAUGGAUCUGAAAGGGCUCAUUACAAAAGAUCCUAAAGAAGCAUCGGAGAGGAUUUUGAUGUCUGUCAGUGAACAGAUCAAUAAAAAGGAGAAAUGGAGCAGUAGUUCUGUAGUUCUGCUCAUGAAAGAUGCGAUUAUUUGCCUUAUGACUUUGUUUUAACUGCUGUGGUCUCCCUUGGGGUCACAACUGCUAGUUUGGUAACCACUGAAGUAGAGUGAAGAGUUAGCCAGGAGGUGUGGAAAUGAAGCUUGACAGCAGGCAGAGAUGCCUUCCAGCAGAGACAAUUCCCUCUACUGCUUUGAACUGCUGGGUCUCUGUAGCAAGGAAGGUGUUUUCUGUUGGUCUUCUUCGAUGCAUGUGCGGAGGUACACUACCAAUCUGUUGUUAGCCUGUAUUUGAGAUUAUGUAAGGUAAAAGAAUGUAUUACAAUAGCUCUUCCACCACCCACAUGCUACGUUCUGCCUGGAGUCAUAAGAAAACUUAGUUUCUUAUGUUUGUCCACAUUUGAUUCUUAUUGUCUGACUAGAAUUGUAACUACUUAUCACUCAGUCCAGGUUUUCUCCUAAUAAGAAUAAGCUUAUUGGAGUCCAAGUAAGAUUUCAGAUGUUAAACUACCCUGUAGUAAUGAUUUCUGUUAUUACACAGCAGUAAGCCAUAAGCCUUUGAUGUAUGAUGCCUAAUGAGUUACUGGUACAACAGCUGAAGACCAUACUUGUGCUGAGGAGGAAAAUAAAGCUUCAUUUGCAGGAGUUUAAGUAGUGAUGAGGAUUCUCUGCUAGUUCUCUAUAGAAGGAAGGAUAAGUAUACAGUCUUCUCAGUUAUUUUAGGAAGUUAUUUAUCUCUGUGGGUGUCAGGCAGACUCGUGGUAACAAAAAUAUGCAGUGAUUGACUGGAGUGCUGCAUCCCCUGCUGACACUAUUGCAGAGAGCAUAGCUGGCAUCAGAGCCACCCUCAGCUCUGCCUCUGCUUCCACUACAGAGCAACUGAAUCUUUAUUUUUAAUUACUUGUUUAUGAUGUGUAUGAACUGCAUGGAGCUUCGUUAUGGAUGAAUACACAAGAAGACAGUAUUUUAUUUUUUCGGUUGCUUGCAAAUUAAAAUAAUUUUGAGUUAUUAAUGGAUGAUAACUGAUGGGUAAGUGUGCUUGCAUCUCUAACAAGAUGACAAAUGUCCAUACUUUCAGAACUAGCUGUUUUAACAGGAGAUAAUGGAGAUUCAUGACCGUUUGGGAUGUGUAUUUUGAAACAGCUAGAUCUGAAUGAAUGUGAAAAAUCCUAUUUUGUGAAUUUAGUAUCUUAUACCUAAAUCUUGAGCAUAAAACUUAUUUGUAUGUUUGGCUCCCCAGGCUUGUGUAAAAAGGGGUAUCUGGAAGUUUGUUUUAACAAUAAAAUAAAGGAAUCUAGGAUGGAAAUUUAGGAAGGUGGAAUGAUAAUAAGUUACAUGUGAAAGAAAAUGAAGUUUGAGAACUAAGAGGGAGGCUGUUCGAGAGCAGAGAAAGCGUGUUAGAAGAUUGUAUGAAGAGCAGUGUAAGAAUGAAGUAACGUGGAGUUAAUAGUAGGUUACUUUAUUCCAUUCAUCUGAAAAAUCGGAAUUAACUUCAUUUCACAGUAUUCAGUUGUUCAGAAGUUUGUGUAUGUUUGUUAGUGACAUAGUAAUUCCGUUUUUAGGAAGUACUUUCCUAUAUAUCAAUUUGCUAUAAUUUUUAACAAAUUUCAACUACUGUCUAGUGAGUAUUGUCUUGUUAUUCCCUCUAUCUCUUUGAAGGCUGGACUACAACUGAUUUCCAUAGAAAAUACUAUGCCACAGAUGAGUGCUUAAUUAUUAUAUAGAAUUGUUUAGAAUUCUAGAUGAAAGACACACAAAGAAUGGCAACCUGUAGAAUGCUAUUAAUUUGCAGUAAUUGAUAUAUUCAAUGCAAUCGCUGAAUUUUAUGAAAGUCAAUGAGAAGCAAAUAGUACAUAUUUGCAGUCGCAAAGCUUAGCCUAUCUUUCUUAUUACAGCAGCUGUGAUUCAUUUCCUCCACACAGGGAGAGGGAAAUGGUUUCAUGAGGCAGCAAAAGGGUCAGGAGAUGUCAAAGUAGCUUUCUCACAUAGGCUUACGUGCAGAGCAUCAGCAUACAAAACAUUACCAUGAGACUCCUUUUUGAUUGCUUCAUAUUUCCUUGCAUUUAUUUAAGUAGACAAAUUUAAUCCAAUGGGAUAAAAUAAAAUGUUAGAAGAGGAGGGAUAUGACUAGAUCGUAGUAAACUUGUCUUUCCGUCUUUGAACAUGAAGCCGCCCAUAUGCACGAUAUUGUGAGAGGCAAACAGCCCUUACCUGAAGUGGAACUUAAAAGAGAAGACAUUUAGUCCUUUUGUAAACCUACAAUGAUAAAAUAUUUUGGAAUUAGAAAAUGUACCAUUUACUUUAAUGAAUUGGCAUAGGAAAUUGCUUAUCUUUGUAGAGCUCCAGAUCCUAGAUUUAGUUGUUCGUUCAAUUUCUCUAUUUUCAUUUGGAAGGCCUUCAUGUAUUUUACUCUCUGAUCAUAACAAAGCGGAUGCAUAAGUUCUUUUUAAUUAUGAAAUAAAUCCAAGAUAGCAAUACAGUCUAAUAGUUUGGUAC